AUUGAACGCUGGCGGCAGGCUUAACACAUGCAAGUCGAGCGGGGAAAGGUAGCUUGCUACCUGACCUAGCGGCGGACGGGUGAGUAAUGCUUAGGAAUCUGCCUAUUAGUGGGGGACAACAUUCCGAAAGGAAUGCUAAUACCGCAUACGCCCUACGGGGGAAAGCAGGGGAUCUUCGGACCUUGCGCUAAUAGAUGAGCCUAAGUCAGAUUAGCUAGUUGGUGGGGUAAAGGCCUACCAAGGCGACGAUCUGUAGCGGGUCUGAGAGGAUGAUCCGCCACACUGGGACUGAGACACGGCCCAGACUCCUACGGGAGGCAGCAGUGGGGAAUAUUGGACAAUGGGCGAAAGCCUGAUCCAGCCAUGCCGCGUGUGUGAAGAAGGUCUUUUGGUUGUAAAGCACUUUAAGCGAGGAGGAGGCUACUUAGAUUAAUACUCUAGGAUAGUGGACGU
This 453-nucleotide ribosomal RNA is filed under the name uncultured bacterium. RNAcentral's name for it is "bacterial SSU rRNA". It matches the Rfam family "Bacterial small subunit ribosomal RNA", at positions 30 to 475 of the family's 1533-position model. The record is from RNAcentral.